AAACUUACAUUUAGAAGGGUCUUUACCCCUGCUAUGAUGGAAGAGUGGUACUUCCUUGAACAAAUUAUAAAAGAGACUACCCUCACUGGAGAGGAAGAUGUCAUGAUCUGGCAAUAUGAAUCCAAAGGGGUUUACUCUUCCAGCUCGUUGUAUGCCAUCAUUAAUUUUAGGGGGGUGAAACCUGUCUUUAUUCCUUCAGUUUGGUCUAUUGUAGUGCCACCCAGAGUUCAGGUCUUUCUCUGGCUACUGGCCCAUAACAAACUGAUGACUAAAGACAAUUUGCUUAAAAGGGGGAUUGACAAAACUCCGGGAUGCCUAUUCUGCUCUGACCAGGAAACAGUAGAUCACCUGUUUUUUGGUUGUGUGGUAGCAAAAAACAUCUGGACUGAGGUCUCCUCCUUUCUUUCUGUUGAUUUAGGGUCUAGCUAUCUCUCUAUUGCCAAAUUUUGGCCUGCAAACAAAAAACAUGAAGUACUAAAUGCCUUUUGCGCCUGUGUACUGUGGUGCCUUUGGAAAGUUAGGAAUAAACAUGUUUUUGAUAAUGCU
This 546-nucleotide ribosomal RNA is filed under the name Triticum aestivum (bread wheat). RNAcentral describes it as "partial small subunit ribosomal RNA". The record is from RNAcentral. Lineage: Eukaryota; Viridiplantae; Streptophyta; Magnoliopsida; Poales; Poaceae.